Molecule: non-coding RNA, 86 nt
Organism: Dentipellis sp. KUC8613
Lineage: Eukaryota; Fungi; Basidiomycota; Agaricomycetes; Russulales; Hericiaceae
Source: the annotation of a GenBank genome assembly
UCCCUGGUAGUAUAUCGGCUAGUACACCCGCCUGUCAUUUCAACGAUUGGCCGCGGGAGAGCGGGGUUCGACUCCCCGCCAAGGAG